Molecule: ribosomal RNA, 306 nt
Filed under: Triticum aestivum (bread wheat)
Lineage: Eukaryota; Viridiplantae; Streptophyta; Magnoliopsida; Poales; Poaceae
Description: partial small subunit ribosomal RNA
Source: RNAcentral
GAAGAGUGGAGCGGUACGUCCGUUGCUCCAGCGAUGCUUAGUCACAUCCCUCCGGCUUGUCGAUGUCCGAUGAUGAAGACGUCUGGCCUCGUCAGCUCAGACAGAUGGUCGGCCUUGGCCUCGUCGGUGCCCGGCCUGGUGGUGUCCGCCUCGUCGGUGUCAGACACGGUCUUGCCUUCGCCUCGUCGGUGCCCGGCCUGGUGGUGUCCGCCUCGUCGGUGCCCGGCCUGGUGGUGUCCGCCUCGUCGGUGUCAGACACGGUGUGUCUUGCCUUCGCCUCGUCGGUGCCCGGCAAGAUAUGGAUAG